GCAGUCUCCUGUUGCCCAGGCUGGAGUGCAAUGGCGCGAUCUCUGCUCACCGUAACUUCUGCCUCCCGGGUUCAAGCAAGUCUCCUGCCUCAGCUUCCUGAGUAGCUGGGAUUACAGGCAUGCACCAUCACGCCUGGCUAAUUUUUGUAUUUUUAGUAGAGACGGGGUUUCACCAAGCUGGCCAAGCUGGUCUCGAACUCCCGACCUCAGGCAAUCCGCCCACCUCAGCCUCCCAAAGUGCUGGGAUUACAGGCGUGAGCCACCUUGCCCGGACUCUCUUUGUAUUUUUUCUUUCUUUUUUUUGAGACAGAGUCUUGCUCUGUCUCCCAGGCUGGAGUGCAGCGACAUGAUCUCAGCUCACUGCAGCCUCUAUCUCCCAGGUUCCGGCAGUUCUCCUACCGGUUAGCUGGGAUUACAGGCAUGCGCCACCACACCCGGCUAAUUUUUGUAUUUUUAGUAGAGACGGGGUUUCACCAUGUUGGUCAGGCUGGUCUCCAACUCCUGACCUCAAAUGAUCUGCACACCUCGGCCUCCUAAAGUGCUGGAAUUACCGGUGUGAGCCACCGCGCCUGGCCAGAUCCUUAUUUUUUCAAUUGCAAUACAGCAGUAUGCAAGGCACUUACUGUAUGCCAAAGCUUAUGCCGAGAGCUGGCUGCCAGCAGCUCCUCCUGCCUCGAGGCCUUUGUCCAUGUCAUCAUUUCCCCUUUGGCUGUAACAGCUGCAGUUCUCUCAUAAUUUUAGGUUUCAUCUUAAAUGUCACUUCUUCAGAGGCUUCUUGACAGCACAAGUCAGGGCCCUUGUUAGUUUCAUCACAUCCAUUACCUUUCCUUGAUCACUUGUACCAUCAUCUGUAAUUUAUUUUUAUGUUUAAUACGGGUGUGGGAUUUCUGAUUUUUUUUUUUGCUAGACUGGAAGCUCUCAGAGGGCAGGAACCAUUUGUUUCCCUGCCACAGAGAUGUUCAAUAAAUAUUGUCAAUUGAAUGUGCAAAUAAUCUCACUUAACCACAGCUAUGAGGGAUGCUAUUUUAUCCCCAUUUUAGAGAUGACUAAACUGAGGCUUAGAACAAUUAACCCAAGGUCACAGUGAAUUAGUGGAUCCAUGUGUCUGCCUCCACACAGCCUGUGUGUUCUUAAUUAUUGAUCACUAAGCAACAGCUGCCUCUCACAAACUGGCAGGAAACUUCAACUUUUCCCUUUUAUCAAUAUAUUGUGAACGCCUUUUCUUGCUAAUAAAUAUACAUUUGUGUGCGU
This 1251-nucleotide long non-coding RNA is filed under the name Homo sapiens (human). RNAcentral's name for it is "LHRI_LNC745.1". Lineage: Eukaryota; Metazoa; Chordata; Mammalia; Primates; Hominidae. The record is from RNAcentral.